Molecule: non-coding RNA, 140 nt
Organism: Camelina sativa (false flax)
Lineage: Eukaryota; Viridiplantae; Streptophyta; Magnoliopsida; Brassicales; Brassicaceae
Source: RefSeq, a predicted model, not a curated record
GGUUCAGAGAUAGUUUAAAAGGUGAAAUUGGUAUAUUUUUCCCCAUCAUCGUCUUAAGAUCAUUAGACAGCUCCGAGUGUCCCAAUGACCAAAAGAUGGGUGUUCUUAGGAUGCUUGAGAAAGUCUGUAAAGAUCCUCAG